CUACGGGUGGCACCAGUGAGGAAUAUUGCACAAUGGGGGAAACCCUGAUGCAGCAACGCCGCGUGGAGGAUGACGCAUUUCGGUGUGUAAACUCCUUUUAUCAGAGAAGAAAAUGACGGUAUCUGAUGAAUAAGCUCCGGCUGACUCCGUGCCAGCAGCCGCGGUAAUACGGAGGGAGCAAGCGUUAUUCGGAAUCACUGGGCGUAAAGGACGCGUAGGCGGGUUUUUAAGUCAGGUGUGAAAUCCUAUGGCUCAACCAUAGAACUGCACUUGAAACUGGGGACCUAGAGUAUGGAAGGGGCAGGUGGAAUUAGUGGUGUAGGGGUAAAAUCCGUAGAUAUCACUAGGAAUACCGAAAGCGAAGGCGACCUGCUGGGACAUUACUGACGCUGAGGCGUGAAAGCGUGGGGAGCAAACAGGAUUAGAUACCCUUGUAGUC
RNAcentral lists this ribosomal RNA (439 nucleotides) under uncultured bacterium. Its description in RNAcentral is "partial 16S ribosomal RNA". It matches the Rfam family "Bacterial small subunit ribosomal RNA", at positions 339 to 795 of the family's 1533-position model. The record is from RNAcentral.